CCUACGGGGUGCAGCAGUGGGGAAUAUUGGACAAUGGGCGAAAGCCUGAUCCAGCCAUGCCGCGUGUGUGAAGAAGGCCUUCGGGUUGUAAAGCACUUUCAGUGGGGAAGAAAGCCUUGGGGCUAAUACCCUCGAGGAAGGACAUCACCCACAGAAGAAGCACCGGCUAACUCCGUGCCAGCAGCCGCGGUAAUACGGAGGGUGCGAGCGUUAAUCGGAAUUACUGGGCGUAAAGCGCGCGUAGGCGGUCUGAUAAGCCGGUUGUGAAAGCCCCGGGCUCAACCUGGGAACGGCAUCCGGAACUGUCAGGCUAGAGUGCAGGAGAGGAAGGUAGAAUUCCCGGUGUAGCGGUGAAAUGCGUAGAGAUCGGGAGGAAUACCAGUGGCGAAGGCGGCCUUCUGGACUGACACUGACGCUGAGGUGCGAAAGCGUGGGUAGCAAACAGGAUUAGAUACCCUAGUCGUC
Molecule: ribosomal RNA, 465 nt
Filed under: Vreelandella stevensii
Lineage: Bacteria; Pseudomonadati; Pseudomonadota; Gammaproteobacteria; Oceanospirillales; Halomonadaceae
Description: partial 16S ribosomal RNA
Rfam family: Bacterial small subunit ribosomal RNA
Source: RNAcentral